ACAAGCAAGAAUCGAGGCACUAAACAUUUUUUUUAUAUAUUCAAAUUAAUUCUAUUUAAAUUUUAGUUUUAAUUCUUAUCUGGUAGGAUAAAAGAUGGCAUCUACGAAAGUUGUUGGAGUGGUUCUCCUGUGCCUAAUCAUGAUCUUGCAUUUGCACGUCAACAACGCCCAAGACACCGCCCCAGCCCCUGAGGCCCAAGACGCCCGCCCGGAGGUCCAAGACAGUGAUAAAUGUUAUACUGAUUGUGAGAAAUCUUGCAUAGAUGAAGGAAAUGCUCGUUCUUUUUGCAUGUUGAAGUGCGAGAAAGAAUGUCGCAAAGGACAUAUAGGUAUGUAUUUCAUUUGUUUAUAAUUAUUUUGGUUGAUUUAUAUGUUUCAUUUCAAUUUUUUUUUUUUUUACUGAUUUACUAUUAUAUUCUUUAAUGUUUGCAGCUAGACGUUUUAGCAGAUGAUUCAUUAAAACCUAGACGUGUUCAAGAAUCAAGAACCGUGUAUACUUGUGUAUAUUAUUUGUUAUUUUGGAGGAAGCUUGUAUUAUUGUCUUUUUUCAUUCUUCCAACAG
This 562-nucleotide long non-coding RNA is filed under the name Lactuca sativa (garden lettuce). Its description in RNAcentral is "long non-coding RNA (LSAT_LNC009128)". The record is from RNAcentral. Lineage: Eukaryota; Viridiplantae; Streptophyta; Magnoliopsida; Asterales; Asteraceae.